RNAcentral lists this ribosomal RNA (442 nucleotides) under uncultured Clostridiaceae bacterium. RNAcentral describes it as "bacterial SSU rRNA". It matches the Rfam family "Bacterial small subunit ribosomal RNA", at positions 335 to 795 of the family's 1533-position model. The record is from RNAcentral. Lineage: Bacteria; Bacillati; Bacillota; Clostridia; Eubacteriales; Clostridiaceae.
UCCCUACGGGGGGCUGCAGUGGGGAAUAUUGCACAAUGGGGGAAACCCUGAUGCAGCAACGCCGCGUGAGUGAUGACGGCCUUCGGGUUGUAAAGCUCUGUCUUCAGGGACGAUAAUGACGGUACCUGAGGAGGAAGCCACGGCUAACUACGUGCCAGCAGCCGCGGUAAUACGUAGGUGGCGAGCGUUGUCCGGAUUUACUGGGCGUAAAGGGAGCGUAGGCGGACUUUUAAGUGAGAUGUGAAAUACCCGGGCUCAACUUGGGUGCUGCAUUUCAAACUGGAAGUCUAGAGUGCAGGAGAGGAGAAUGGAAUUCCUAGUGUAGCGGUGAAAUGCGUAGAGAUUAGGAAGAACACCAGUGGCGAAGGCGAUUCUCUGGACUGUAACUGACGCUGAGGCUCGAAAGCGUGGGGAGCAAACAGGAUUAGAUACCCCGGUAGUC